AUUCCAUCCCUCGUCAAAAGCCCCUCUCCAGCCCUCUGUUAGCCCCUUUAACCAGGAGCGGCUGUGAGGUUCCCGUGGAGUUUUCUCAUCUCCAGGCUGAGCAGCCGAAACUCUCGCAGCCUUUUGCACCGUUUAGCAGCCCCGGAGCUGGGAGGGGAGAUGAGAGGAGCUGAGCGCGCCCAGGGCCAGCAGGACCCACAUCCAGGUUAUCCCUGCGGAUCCCUGAGCAUCCAAGCACUGCGGGCACACCCGAAACUAAACCCAGAAGGGUCGAACCACACCAGAGCGCAGUUCUGUAGGCGUCUGAGCUGCUGCAAUUACACUGCUGCCACAAAGCCUCUUAACAGAACAAAUCCACAAUUCAGCAAGAAAAUUAAUGAAAUGAAGAGACAGUUGGAGCUCCUGCCAAGAGCAGUCAUUUCAGACCUAGCAACCUUGGAAAAUGACCUUUUAAAUAAUGAAUUUGAAAAAAUAACACUACAAAGCAACAAAAAUGACUGUUACCUACCUAUAAAGUCUACUAAUAGCAGUGGCUUCCAAAGAAUGAAGACAUUAAAUGGAUCAUGGAAACUCACUAGAGCUGAUGUUCCUGUCUCAGGUAUCCUGAGUGUUGAGCUGCCUCACUGCACCUCCUAAGGUAACUCAGGUUAGCUCAGGGAAUGUUUCUACCUAUAUACAGUCAAGCACUCUGAUCCAGAAGACAGGAGUGCACAGUUGUACAGCCUGAGGAAAGUGAGAAGAUAGCAAAAUUAGGCCUAGAAAGGCUACCAGUACGUAAGAAAGGAUAACUAAACAGGGAGGAAUGCGACAUACAUAGACAAGCCAUUAAUUAUUCAUCAUCCCAUAAGCAGUGAAAUACCUCCCUAAAAAUGGCUUUUAAGCACACAUGCUUUACACAACUGGAAGAAUUGGUCUGAUUCAUGUUCAAGUACUCUUUAAGUAGCGCAUAGUGAUGCAAAACUUAAUUUCUUUUGGGGUUCUGCAGUACACCUGAAAUUUUUCUAUCCCUUGAUCCAUGCCUUACAAAGAAUAACUAGCAAAAGCAGGAAAUUCUAAUUUUUGUCCAAGCUUAAACUAGCAUGGACAAAAGCAUGAUUAUUUUUUCUGUGAAGGAAAUGACUCCCUACUUAAUCGCAUUUUCUUUAAACUUCUAAAUCUAUCAUAUUGAAAUGAGAUGGAAGUCCUGCAGUGGGCUCUCCUCACCUUUCCCCUCCCACUCAGUAAAGCUGUAUCCUCACCCCACAAGAUAUAGUUCCCCAAAGUCUGUGCAGCUCUCCUGGUACUGGUGGGGGCUUUAAUGUCUCCUAGAACUUUUUCAGGCUGAACAACCUCAACUUUGCCUGAUGCCAUUGGAAAGAUGCUCCAGGCCUCAGAUCAUCUUUGUGGGACUCACUCCAGCAGGUCAAAACCAUCCCUAUGUUGGGGGCCCCAAAGCUGGACACAGCACUCAGAGAAUCCCAGACCCACUCAUUCAAGAGAUGCAAGUGAAUAUCAUCAACAUCCCUCGUAAGCAUCCCUCCACAACAACCAAAGAUGUUUCACAAGAGAAACAGUUUCUGUGAUAAAGAUUAUACAGAUUAUGGAGAACACAUGCUUCUUGCUUUUUUCAUUAUUUAAAGAAUAAUCACCGGUGGAUUUUAGGAGGUUUUUGUGAACUGAAACAGAAAAUGAGAACAGGUAGAGAAGCUGAGCCUUAAUCCUCCAAUUUAAUUUCCUUUAAUCUUGUUUAUAGAAUAUAUCCUCUUUUUUAACUACCUUUUUUUUUUUUUUUUCACCAAAGCUUGCCACUUGCAGAUCCUCUUACACCUUUUUACCAUGAAUUACAUGCAUUGCUAUUCUCCGGGCAGACUUCCCUGCCCCCUCUCCAGGUUUCUCUCCCCCUGAUGCUCUAUGCUCUGUUCAGGCUUCUAAUCCAGGAUGGCUAACACAGCAAAACUGGAACAGGAGCAGAAGACGGAGCAUUGCAAGUGGCCCUUUAGCAACCUGCAGGGCUCACACUUACAGCAAAUACUCUGAGCGCAGGUAGGGUGGCGCACACAACAUUAAGACUAAAUAAAAACCAAUUUAUAUUCUCCCCCACUGAGGUCUGAAGCUGGGAUAGGUAAUUUGUUCCAAAUGGAGGAGGAACACUACAGACUACAGUGCUCCAGGCUUUUCUGGGUCUCGAUCGUUUAACUCAUCCCGGGGUUUCUUCACAUAACCUGACCUCCAGUUGUUUUUGAACAAAAGAGGUAACUGCUGAAGAUUGUGGAGAAGAUAGGAAGGAGACAACCCCUAAUUACUGGUUGAUUUCAUCUGGAGCUGCAUUAUAGCCAGUACUUAGCAAGAAAAGAGACUUAAACCAAACAGCAAUUCUUAAACCACCGCAAACAUCAGCAUUUUUGUUCUUUAUUUACUCAAAACAUUUUAUUUAAAAGUAGCAGGCCUAGCAAAAUAAGGAACAAUCUAAAAAGAACCCCUGUUGACACAGACACAUUCGAUUUGCUGUGAUAAAAGACAAAGAACCACAAAUCUUGCAAUGUAUCAUUUGCUUCCAAAGACAGUAACAUAUAGCCUGUGAUUUUAAUGAUUGUCCUGCAACUGAUCAUUUUGAGAAGCACAGGAUAAAGCGCAGUUAAGCUAUAUAUUAUCCUCUUACCCUUCCAGAGCGAAGUAUUUCAUUUAAGCCAUUCAGGUAGAGGUAGUUUUGCGGGUUAAUAGUAGAUUUGAAAUCUUGCUUGUAGUUAAUUCAGCUCCAAGACCUCUGCAUAAUUUAGACUAGUUCACAUUUCAAAAACUUCUCAGAAACUUUAAUAUAUAAUACCCAUUUUAAAUGUUCAGCUUAAAAUAAAGCUUCUAGAGUCCAGUUCUGACUUUGCAUAUAUCAAUAUUUUUGAAUCAAGACAAAUUUCUCCCAAGAGAGAAUCUUCUUUCACCACUCAAAAUAAUUAUAUUGCCACCAUUCAUAUAAAGAGAAAAAUACAGAUGGCCUUUACCCAGAGAUGCUCUGGUGUGCCCUUACAGAGUUAAUUGGAGGACUCACAUCUGAAAGAGCUCUCUGUCUCCCAGGACUCAUUUUCUCUUUAUUCAUACUGUACCAACCUGAAAGACAGACAUUUAACAGAUGCUCCCCAGACACACAUUGUUUUUCCUAAUAUUUUCACACUGUGGUUUACCAAUCCUGCCCAAAACCUCACCACAAGCAUCCUGAACAUAAAAUAUCUACUGCCAGCAGAGGAAGUUGUCUAUUUCCCUCUUACCUCAGAGCAUUAUCAGUGCAUACCAGGAAACAGUGUCAGAUAUGCUCAUCAGUCACAAGUAAUUACAGAUCCCUAUCAUCAUUGUUUUUCCACACAGUCACCUUAUCUCUGACAAGACACAAAAAAAAAAAAAAAGGUUCCACUCUUGUGAGAAGGAUCCCUCCCAAGUUUGCUGUCAGAAAAAAAAGAAAAUAAUAUUUAAGAGGGCAAAUGUUUUUAGUCUUGUUUAUAAAUAACAAGAAAUUGAUUUUUUUUCAUUAGAUGUAAACUUCACUAGCUUGUAGGCACCUCCUUUCAAUUGUUUUUUAAAGAAAUGCAUUGCUUUGUUAAUGUAGCUUUUGACUGGUUUUCAAAAGUAUCUAAACAAUUAAAAUCACAUUCCAAUAUAAGUCCUCAUGAGUGAGGGCUUUUGCCCAGUGAUCCAUCAGGAGAGACACUAGAGCUUAUGCCCAUGCAGUGCUUCACUAUAGAGGAACCUAAUUAAAUUAACUGUAUGAAUUCGGUGACCAUAUGGAGCCAUCAGUGACAGAGAGAUACUAUAACUUGGAAGCAAAAUUAUCACAAGAGUCUAAAACAAGGAAAGAAGGUGCAAGUUAUAAGAAGAAAUCUGGUGAAUAAUCCAAGUAUUGGAACAGAAGCUCUGUUUCGAAAGGGAAUGUAUCAAGAGAUAGUCCAUACAAAGAAACAAUAACUAGUUGUUAUAAUUCUGAGGCAGUUCAUACAAAGAAACAAUAACAAAUUGUUAUAAUUCUGAGGCACUUAGCAGAAAAACAUCACAGAAACAGAAGAAUUUAAUUUCUUUCCAUUUACUACCAACUGCA
This is a long non-coding RNA of Motacilla alba alba, 4060 nucleotides long. RefSeq lists it as uncharacterized. The record is from RefSeq and is a predicted model, not a curated record. The transcript has 3 exons. Lineage: Eukaryota; Metazoa; Chordata; Aves; Passeriformes; Motacillidae.